UACGGAGGGGGCUAGCGUUGUUCGGAAUUACUGGGCGUAAAGCGCACGUAGGCGGCUUUGUAAGUUAGAGGUGAAAGCCCAGGGCUUAACCCUGGAAUUGCCCUUAAGACUGCAUCGCUAGAAUCGUGGAGAGGCGAGUGGAAUUCCGAGUGUAGAGGUGAAAUUCGUAGAUAUUCGGAAGAACACCAGUGGCGAAGGCGACUCACUGGACACGUAUUGACGCUGAGGUGCGAAAGCGUGGGGAGCAAACAGG
Molecule: ribosomal RNA, 253 nt
Filed under: uncultured bacterium
Lineage: Bacteria
Description: partial 16S ribosomal RNA
Rfam family: Bacterial small subunit ribosomal RNA
Source: RNAcentral